This 490-nucleotide ribosomal RNA is filed under the name uncultured bacterium. Its description in RNAcentral is "partial 16S ribosomal RNA". It matches the Rfam family "Bacterial small subunit ribosomal RNA", at positions 28 to 507 of the family's 1533-position model. The record is from RNAcentral.
GAUGAACGCUAGCGAUAGGCUUAACACAUGCAAGUCGAGGGGCAGCAUGGUCUUAGCUUGCUAAGACUGAUGGCGACCGGCGCACGGGUGCGUAACGCGUAUGCAACUUGCCUCACAGAGGGGGAUAACCCGUCGAAAGACGGACUAAUACCGCGUACACUCUAUUUUGGGCAUCCAAGGUAGAGGAAAUGAAAUUCGCUGUGAGAUAGGCAUGCGUCCCAUUAGCUAGUUGGUGAGGUAACGGCUCACCAAGGCGACGAUGGGUAGGGGAACUGAGAGGUUGAACCCCCACACUGGUACUGAGACACGGACCAGACUCCUAUGGGAGGCAGCAGUGAGGAAUAUUGGUCAAUGGGCGAGGGCCUGAACCAGCCAAGUCGCGUGAAGGAUGACUGUCUUAUGGAUUGUAAACUUCUUUUGUAGGGGAAUAAAGAGGGGCACGUGUGCCCCAGUGAAUGUACCCUACGAAUAAGCAUCGGCUAACUCCGUG